Molecule: long non-coding RNA, 1083 nt
Organism: Vespa crabro (European hornet)
Lineage: Eukaryota; Metazoa; Arthropoda; Insecta; Hymenoptera; Vespidae
Exons: 2
Source: RefSeq, a predicted model, not a curated record
GGAGAAACAGUGAAUUCUAUUACCUAACUAUUUGUUUUUAUCAUUUUAUCUUGUCUUAGAUUUUGCUAGUGUUUUUCUUUUUUGUUUUUCACAGAACAAACACAAGCAAAGACAAGAAUCGUUGAUCUAGUAUCAAAAGCAAGUUAUCUCUUAUUUGCAUUUUAUUUCUCUACGUAUUUUCAUUGAGGUAUUCGCGAUCUAGAAUGAGCAGGAAAUAGGUAAGGGAACGAAAAUACGAAUCAUUGCGCGCGAAUAAGAAAAACUAUUGUUUGAAUAACGUGAUAAGAAGAAAACUAUGCUAAUUAGAAGAGUAUCGUUCAUAGAAACCAUCUUGUUGAACAAACAUAAGAAAACUGCGCAAGUUAAAAAAAUAUCGUUCAUAGAAAUCAUCUGUUGAGCAAAUAUAAUAUUUCAUGAAGUACCUAGAAACCAAGUGAUUAACAGCUUCAACAUUUAAUGUAAUAUUGUUUGACAAGUUACUUCAUCAUCCUCGACUAUUCUUAUCAAUGAUAUCAGAAUACGUAUAAACAAAUUUUUUAUUCGACAAUGUAUGACUUAUGUAUAUAUAGGUGUAUUGAGAAAAUUCUCAAAUAAAUUCAAUAGGAUCUUUAAUGGAUCAGAUCGCGUCUCGUUGAUAUGCAUCACGCUUAACGCUUGUGAAUUUAUCGAAGUCAAUUCAGAGACGAGCGUAGCCCGCGUACACAAAUAGGGCUAGGUCACGAUGGCUAAUGGAAUGAUUCGUUUAAGACAAUCGCACGCGUUUAUCCAACAACGACGGCUCAACGAAACGAUGAAGUUCAACGCGAAGGAGAGAAUAAUAAUAAAACAUAAGAAACUAAUCGAGAGAAUCUUCAUCCUCCAACGAAAUGCCGAAAAAGAAAGAGUUACCUCCCCUCUGCAAUAGUAGCAACUGCUCCAGCUGGACGAUCAGAAGAAAGAUAAAGCAGCCGUAGAAUUCGAAACUUUUUCGCGUCAUCUUCUUGCACCGGAAUCUUUUUUUCCGUAUGUUAAAAAAAUCGUAUUGUUUUCGUGCUAUCGAAACUCGCGAUCUAUAGAUCGAUUCUUUUUUCUUUCUUUCUCUUU